Molecule: long non-coding RNA, 422 nt
Organism: Perognathus longimembris pacificus (Pacific pocket mouse)
Lineage: Eukaryota; Metazoa; Chordata; Mammalia; Rodentia; Heteromyidae
Exons: 2
Source: RefSeq, a predicted model, not a curated record
UCAGCCUCCCAAGCCCAAGUAGCUAGGAUUACAGGCAUGAGCCACCAGUACCUAGCUUCAUUGUUCUAUUUUCAUACAUACCAACUGUACAAUUUGUCACAUGGAUUCUCUGAUGUAUAGUAAGAGAACUGCUUUGCGUAAAGCAUUCCCCACAUUUUCUACACUCCUAAGUCCUUUCUCCAGUGUACAUUCUCGUGUGAACUAAAGCUGCUUCUGUGCUUAAAUGACUUUCCACAAUCUACAUUCAAAAGGUCUUUCUCCAGUGUGACCUCUCAAAUGUGUAUUAAGGCAACUUUUUUUCUGAAAGGCUUCACAUAUUGUGCAUGCAUAAGGCCUUUCUCCAUUGUGGAUUCUCUGGUGUGCAGUAAGAGAACUGUUUUACUUAAAGUACUUCUCACAUUCUCUAUACUUAUAAGGCCUUU